GAGGAUGUAGCUCAGUGGUAAAGUGCAUGCCUAGCAUGCAAAAGUCCUGAGUUCAAUUCCCAGUACCUCCA
RNAcentral lists this transfer RNA (71 nucleotides) under Camelus bactrianus (Bactrian camel). It matches the Rfam family "tRNA". Rfam says of the family: Transfer RNA (tRNA) molecules are approximately 80 nucleotides in length. Their secondary structure includes four short double-helical elements and three loops (D, anti-codon, and T loops). Further hydrogen bonds mediate the characteristic L-shaped molecular structure. tRNAs have two regions of fundamental functional importance: the anti-codon, which is responsible for specific mRNA codon recognition, and the 3' end, to which the tRNAs corresponding amino acid is attached (by aminoacyl-tRNA synthetases). tRNAs cope with the degeneracy of the genetic code in two manners: having more than one tRNA (with a specific anti-codon) for a particular amino acid; and 'wobble' base-pairing, i.e. permitting non-standard base-pairing at the 3rd anti-codon position. Lineage: Eukaryota; Metazoa; Chordata; Mammalia; Artiodactyla; Camelidae. RNAcentral also lists the same sequence under 3 other names. The record is from Rfam by way of RNAcentral.